Molecule: long non-coding RNA, 330 nt
Filed under: Anas platyrhynchos platyrhynchos (common mallard)
Lineage: Eukaryota; Metazoa; Chordata; Aves; Anseriformes; Anatidae
Description: lncRNA (ENSAPLG00000030130.1)
Source: RNAcentral
AGAGCUAACAACUAGCAUACUGGUCAAAUCCAGAAUUAUGCAGUGACAAGACACUGUUGAAUGCAAUGAAGCUGACCUCAGUGUACACAGAAACAGGACGUGAAUGAUUGGUAAUAACACAGAAUGCUCACAUACUCACAGAGCUUGCUGGUACCAUCAUGCAUUCAUUCACAGCCACCCAACUGAAGAAGUGGAGAAGGCUGCUGGCCUGUUAUUGUUUACAACUGUGCUGCCCUUCUGCCUAAUGGACACCCUGGGGGAAUGUUGUUGGCUUUGAGACACAGCUACAUAUUUUCAAUAAACAACUCCUGAAGCCAGUGAAUGCUAACA